CCCCAUGACGGCAGAGUCGAGGUGAACAUACAGCGGAAUGGCCAACGGGAAUUCGGAACACCGACGGAGAAAACAAACACGCGGAUACAAACUAUAUUUACGUUUUAUUGACCGGUAUUGAAAAGUACAAACGUUCUGUAUCGCUCACUGUUUGGUAACUAACUGAUAAACGUCAACAAAGGAUCAAAGGAUAUUGAGCAUGAAAGGACCCUAUUAUCGCACCCAGGCCACACACCACACGAAAUCAAUUUGAAAAUUACAAAUACUGCUUCCGGAUGGAUCCUGUGCUGUUCAUGUAAAGCAGGAACAGGUCGUUGCAAACAUAUCGUGGCCUGUUUGCUUCAUCUCAAUCGAUCUGACCAAGUGGAAUACUUGUCCUGUACGGAUACCAAGCAAGCGUGGGGAAGUCCGAGAAAGGUACCCCAUGGGGGCCAAAAGAGUGAGCGAACUUUGCUGCACCAAAAUGCCUACCCGACUUGUACCGUCGGACUCAAAAUUAAGGGAUGCGAUAGUGAAAGAGUCAUUCACAAGGAUAAUGGAAGGUAUAUGCGAUAUUGUGUAGAAUGCGUGGAUGCGUGGAAAAUUUCUUCCAAGAAAUGGUCCAGAAAAUCACAUUUUUCUGAUCGCAGUACGCUGUUGAGAAGAAAUGUCACUUCAAACGUGGCUCUCUGUUCAUUCAGUCAAGUAAUUUCUUUAUUUAUCUUUACCGAAACAGCAUACUUAGCUUAACACCCUAAAAGCCAUUAGUUGACAGCGGUACACCCACCCUCCUAUAGAUGAAGAGAAAUCGAUCAUGCGAUUUACGCCCUUAUUCCAGCGCACGCUAUAAUAUAGUCCUAAAAGCAUGAUGGUCCUAAAAUUUGAGUAUUUCUCGAUUACUUUUUCAAAUCAACGUAAGUAACUUUCAUACGGUUUUGAGGAAGUUAAUUAAGAAGAAUCACAACCUUCCCAAGAACCAUGGAGCAUUAUAUCAUUGCUUAAAUACAGCAGCCGCAUUGCCGUAAGCCUAUUAUUAAAGUAGUUUAAAAGUGGAAAAAGGCCCUGAUAUAGUCGAACUAAUGCCAGAAUGUUUAUAAAGCAACCAAGCAAUUCAUAAAGUAGUAUUAGUGCAUUGAUACAUUUGUAAUGUAGCAUUAAUGCUCUUUUGCUUGACAGUUUGUCGAAUAAAAGCAAUGUCGCAUCAGUAUUGUUGAUAUGCAGUAGAAUAAGUGUAAUGUUAUAA
Molecule: long non-coding RNA, 1222 nt
Organism: Aedes aegypti (yellow fever mosquito)
Lineage: Eukaryota; Metazoa; Arthropoda; Insecta; Diptera; Culicidae
Exons: 3
Source: RefSeq, a predicted model, not a curated record